AGCAAACCGACCCUUCACCUCCUUACCUGCUCCCCUUAUCAGCUAGCUGCCUUCUGACCCUGGAGGGAGGAACUCUGGCUCCUAUUCCAUAGAUGAGGGAACUGAGGCUCAGAGAAGCUUCACACCAACUCCUGUCCUCCAAGGGAAGGCAGCAGGGAUCGUGGUGAUGUUCUGGGAAUGGGUGUGGCUGUUCCCAGGGAAUGGGGAUCCUCCCAUCCCAGCAAAGGACUAUCCAGCUGCACUCAGACCUCCUGGAUUCAAAUCUGUACAAUUAGACCCUUAGACCCUCUGUGCUUCAGUUUCCCCAACUGGAGAUAAUAGCAAGGCCAACCUCAUCUGGUUGUUGUGAGGAUUAAAUCCAUCACCUAAUGAGAAGCUUCCUGAAGCAUUUUCACAGAUGCUUGCAAAGCUCCUAUGGCCAGGUGGAAAUGAGGACAAAGACCCUGAGAGACAGGAAGAAGGAGACCGAGACAGAGGAAGCGGGCGGUGGCGGAACAGAGAGAAAUAAGCGGAUAUGAAGAGACAACAGGGCUGGAGAGACACGGGGAGAGUGACAGUGACAGAGAUGGAGAGAGCAGAAACCAAAACUCAGACAGAUCUGACUCCCGCAUCGCCUUCCGUAACUAGAGAUGGGGUUUAACUGUGUUACCCAGGAUGGUCUCGAUCUCCUGACCUCGUGAUCCCCGUUGAUGCAGCAAUUCCACUUCUAGGAUGUACCCUAUGGAUAUACUUGCACAAGAACACAGUUGCAAUUUGUCAUGGCAAAAGCCUGCAAGCCACCAUCACUAAGGAACUGGCUGUUUACAUCCUGCUCUGUGUCCACCAUGGAACGCCACACAGCCUUGAAAAAGGAGGGUGCUCUCUACGUACUGAUAUCAUCAAGAUCUACUGUUGCUGAAAAUCACAAGGCACAGAACUAGUGUGUAGAGUCCUCUGAUAUCUGUAAGAAAGCAAAGCAAAUACAUGCUUUUGCCCACAUGUUCACAGAACCCUUCUGAAAAGCAACACAAAAGACUGUCACAGUGAGGAGCUGAGAGGGUGAAGACAAAUGUAAGAGGGAGACUGGCUUUUCACUGCACGCUUGUUGUACCUUUGGUAUUUGGUGCCACAUGGUAUUAUCUAUGGACAAAAUGAGUUAAAGUUAUACACGAUGCGCAAGUGCUCCAUUUGUGGAUAUAGGAAAAUGCUUGUGAUAAAGUAUUGAGAGAAAAGAAGAUGGCCUAAUUUAUAUAAUGCAUGAUUCACAUAUAUCCAUGAGCUGUCUCUGUAAGUAUAUCCCACAUAUAUCUGUAACUAUAGAGAGAAAUGUCUAAAAAUACUAUCAGC
This 1326-nucleotide long non-coding RNA is filed under the name Homo sapiens (human). Lineage: Eukaryota; Metazoa; Chordata; Mammalia; Primates; Hominidae. The record is from RNAcentral.